AGGGAGAGACCAGGAAAGAUGGGUUCCCUGGAAACUCAAGCCAGAAGGGUGACCAGGGUGGUUCUGGCUCACCAGGUCUGGAUGGUAUUCCUGGACAGAAGGGGGAGGCAGGAUCAAACGGGUCUAAGGGGAUCGAUGGAGCAAUGG
Long non-coding RNA from Oncorhynchus gorbuscha (pink salmon), 147 nucleotides. RefSeq lists it as uncharacterized. Lineage: Eukaryota; Metazoa; Chordata; Actinopteri; Salmoniformes; Salmonidae. The transcript is spliced from 3 exons. The record is from RefSeq and is a predicted model, not a curated record.